Molecule: ribosomal RNA, 440 nt
Filed under: uncultured bacterium
Lineage: Bacteria
Description: bacterial SSU rRNA
Rfam family: Bacterial small subunit ribosomal RNA
Source: RNAcentral
CCUACGGGUGGCAGCAGUAGGGAAUAUUGGACAAUGGCCGAAAGGCUGAUCCAGCCAUCCCGCGUGCAGGUAGAAGGUCCUAUGGAUUGUAAACUGCUUUUCUCUGGGAAGAAAUCACUUGUUUCUACGAGUGUUGACGGUACCAGAGGAAUAAGCACCGGCUAACUCCGUGCCAGCAGCCGCGGUAAUACGGAGGGUGCAAGCGUUAUCCGGAUUCACUGGGUUUAAAGGGUGCGCAGGCGGAUUUGUAAGUCAGUGGUGAAAGCCCCGGGCUCAACCUGGGAAUUGCCGUUGAUACUGCAAGUCUUGAGUAUAGUUGAGGUGGGCGGAAUACAUCAUGUAGCGGUGAAAUGCUUAGAUAUGAUGUAGAACACCGAUUGCGAAGGCAGCUCACUAAACUAUAACUGACGCUCAGGCACGAAAGCGUGGGUAUCAAACAG